Molecule: long non-coding RNA, 813 nt
Filed under: Pan troglodytes (chimpanzee)
Lineage: Eukaryota; Metazoa; Chordata; Mammalia; Primates; Hominidae
Description: lincRNA
Source: RNAcentral
GGGAGCACCCUGGGAAACAGUGUGGCUAUGACUUGGAGCUGCUCACCAGUUCCAGUCAUUCUGUGGUUGAGAGCUGCUCCCUAUGGAUGUUAAUUCUUCUCCAUUUUAGAUUUUCCACAGGUGUGGGCCCCAUUAGCUCUGGCCACCUGAGAAAGCCCUCAGGCAAAGAGUCGCAGGUGAAAGCCAGCAGUUAGAGGUUCACAGAAAUGAGUACAGAAGCAUCUUCAGUUGGAGAGCCACUGCCUCUUGCUGUGAAAUAUUUGGGAAUCUUCAGAAACCAUGAAGAAUAACCUGCUAAAGCUGAGCUGGGACUCUGCCUGGAUAUAACUUAUGGCCUAUUCUAUAUGGAAAGUUGGUUUUCUCACAGUUCCACUCCCUUCCCAGAUAUCAGCAAAUGGCCCUCCUAGCCCAGAAGUCUCCAGAGAGGGUUUUAUUUUGUCAGUCAAGCUGGAAUGCAGUGGCGUGAACAUUGCUUACUGCAGCUUCAAUCUCCUGAGGUCAAACAAUCUUCUCACCUCAGCCUUGCAAGCAGCUAGGACUACAGGCAUGUGCCACCACGCCCCACUAAUUUUUUAAUUUUUCUUUUGUGGAGACGCAGUCUUGUUAUCUUGAACAGGCUGGUCUUGAACUCUUGGAGUCAAGCAAUCCUUCUGCCUCAGACUCUCAAAAGUGCUGGGAUUACAGGCAUGAGCCACCACAUUCAGCCAGGAAAAGUUUUUGUACAUUUAAAAAAUUAUAGGAUAUUUGUGUAUAUAGCUUUGCUGGUUUGACUUCCUAGAAUAGCUCCCAGGAACACAAAGUACUUAAUUGAUU